CGCGCGUGAUAUACUCAAUACUGAUGGCAAAAAUAACAAAUUUAUUAAUUAAAAGUUAAGUGUGAUUUAGGUAAUUUAUUUUGUCAUGAUUUAAUAAAAGGCUUUGCUAUUGCUGUUUUGCUGGAUUUCUUUUUUGUUGAAUAAAGUCGAAGCUGUGGAUCUAUUUUCCUUUGAACAUUGACUUCUUCAACUGUUUUUAAGUGUGCUUGUCCUCCUUCGCUCAUUAUUGCUAUAAUUUCUGCCAACUUUUUUUCAAUUUUUUGUAAGUUUUCAUUACUAUAUUCAUUUGUUGAACUCAGACCUAAAAUAAUUUCUGUUUGGCUUAUGAUUGUUUGAUUUUUGUGAGCUUUAUGAUGACUAGAAGUUGCAACCAUAUCCAUUACCUUUUUUUGCUCUGUCGUAUUUGAGUAGUACGAAACAGUGUGUUCAGUAUUGUCGUCUAAACUUAUAAACUCACGAGCACAAGCAUGUAUGUGUUUACAAAUAUUUGCUUUAAUAACAUUAUCAAUGCAAGUGCAAUGAAAGGUGUGAAUGCAAAUAUCACACUUUAUGCUCAUCGGAUCGAUUUGAUAAACAAAAUGCAACUGGGCAACCAGAUCCAAAUUCAUCUACAGUGACAACAGUAUACAAUUGAAUGUCAUAUGCAUUAGUUCCAUGCACUAGAUGACAUGAUGCUCAGCUGUUAAGAUACAAACAAAAAUAAAAUACUAGCUAAAUGAAAAUCACAAUAAGUAUAAACACCUAUGUCAGCCUGAGAUUAAUAACUUAUUUUUAGAAGAUUUAUGACUUGGAAAUUUCUUGUUAUUAUGUAUUAUUUUAAAUGUUCAAAUAUUUUAUAUAGCAAUCAAUGAUAUUGUAUUUGGAGUUGAAUAAAAUAAAUGUCAUAUAUCUAAAUAUGUAUACACAAGUAACUAGGAACAUUUCCUAUUUCUAAUAUUUAUAAAAAUGAAAAUAAUAAAAUACAUUGUAUUUAUUUAAA
Rhopalosiphum padi (bird cherry-oat aphid) is the source of this 979-nucleotide long non-coding RNA. RefSeq lists it as uncharacterized. The transcript has 3 exons. The record is from RefSeq and is a predicted model, not a curated record. Lineage: Eukaryota; Metazoa; Arthropoda; Insecta; Hemiptera; Aphididae.